CAAAUAUUAAAGGCAACGCCUGCCCAGUGAAUAUUAAACGGCCGCGGUACCCUAACCGUGCAAAGGUAGCNUAAUCAUUUGUCUAUUAAUUGUAGACNUGUAUGAAAGGCAAAAUGAGAAUCUAACUGUCUCUUAUAAUUAAUCAAUUAAACUGAUCNCCUAGUCCAAAAGCUAGAAUACCGCCAUAAGACCAGAAGACCCUGUGAAGCUUUAACUAACCUGUUUAAAUCACCUAACGGGUACUUUUGGUUGGGGUGACCUUGGAAAAAAAGAAAACUUCCAAAAAUAUGACCACAAAUCAUCAACCUAAGGCUGACAAGCCACUACAGACCCAGUUUUUAAACUGAUAAUUGAACCAAGUUACUCCAGGGAUAACAGCGCCAUCUUCUUCAAGAGCCCAUAUCAAAAAGAAGGUUUACGACCUCGAUGUUGGAUCAGGAC
This 441-nucleotide ribosomal RNA is filed under the name Xylophis stenorhynchus (Guenther's mountain snake). RNAcentral's name for it is "partial 16S ribosomal RNA". It matches the Rfam family "Bacterial large subunit ribosomal RNA", at positions 1840 to 2543 of the family's 2925-position model. Lineage: Eukaryota; Metazoa; Chordata; Lepidosauria; Squamata; Pareidae. The record is from RNAcentral.